AUUGAACGCUGGCGGCAUGCCUUACACAUGCAAGUCGAACGGUAACAGGUCUUCUGCUGCUGACGAGUGGCGCACGGGGGAGUAUUACAUCGGAACGUUCCCGCUCGCGGUGGGGAACGAAGCUAAAGCUUUGCUAAUACCGCAUAAGAUCUACGGAUGAAAGCGGGAUGGCGCAAGACCUUGCGCGAUCGGGGCUGCCGAUGGCAGAUUAGGUAGUUGGUGGGAUAAAAGCUUAUCACGCCGACGAUCUGUAGCUGGUCUGAGAGGACGAAGAGCCACACUGGGACUGAGACACGGCCCAGACUCCGACGGGAGGCAGCAGUGGGGAAUUUUGGACGAAGGGCGAAAGCCUGAUCCAGCCAUGCCGCGUGGAGGAUGAAGGCCUUCGGGUUGUAAACUGCUUUUGUACGGAACGAAAAGACUCUGGUUAAUACCUGCGGUCCAUGACGGUACCGAAAGAAGAAGCACCGGCUAACUACGUG
This 482-nucleotide ribosomal RNA is filed under the name uncultured bacterium. RNAcentral's name for it is "partial 16S ribosomal RNA". It matches the Rfam family "Bacterial small subunit ribosomal RNA", at positions 30 to 507 of the family's 1533-position model. The record is from RNAcentral.